UUCUCUCAGCAUGUGGCUGUGUAUUGUUCAUACCGUUGGCUGGUAUUCUAUUGAAGGCCACGUUCUGCGUUAUGUUUGUGGUGUGAACUGGUAUGACACUCACCGUGUUUAUAUAAAAAUAAAUUCUUUCCUCGAAAUGUCCAUCUCUCAUGGGCACAGUUUUCUAACUGAGGUCUGGAGGAGGGGCAUAGAGGGAGGAGCCAGUUCACACCCAGUUUAUGGGGUAUAUGCAAUUCCGGACGAAUUGCACCUUUUUUUCGUCCGUUUUAAAAUUCGCCUGUACUCGACAGCCGCAGCCCUGCCGCCGGGACCAUGAAUUCACCAUAUGCAAUACAAAACGCAUUUGACACUCCCCUUGGCGGAUAACGGACCAAUCGGCGAGUAGUGGGCGUCCUGAAUUCGACUUCCCGCCGUUUGCAGCCCUUUAUUAGGGCUUGUUUGCUGCGUGCUCAGCAGCCAUAUUGUGAACCUGCAGAGAGGUGUGAGGAGGUGCAGAGCUAGCAAAUUGGUUGUUUGCUGUGGUAUCGUUUGGACACCCAGCAGGCUUUAAUUCAGGACAGACAGGAGGAUACCCGUUACCCCGGAGGAGAGUCGUUUUUGGAGCUAUUUCUACAUUUUUAGGUAAGUACCACAUGUGGGUCUGGUGUCGCAUGUAUGCGUUUGUGUAGUGGGGGUUGCCAUGAGGUGUACAUGGGGUGUUUGGGGUAUGUAUUUGGGGUGUUUGGGGUAUGUAUAUAUAUAUAUGUGUGCAGUUAUGUGCAUAGCUCCUGCUUGUAUUGCUGCAUUUUUUGGAGGAGUUUUGUGUUUUGGGGUAGUUUUUCACGUUUUUUUUUUUCUUUCUUAAAAUUACUUUUUGGGUCAUGCUUUUGCAUUGGUGUACCUCCAGCAUGUGCAGGGAUGUUUUUUGUCUUGUUUGGGCUGAUUUUAGUGCGUGUCGGUAUCAAUGUGGUCGACAUGUGAUGUUGUUUGUUUGCUAAAACAGGUUUUUUACCUCCUAUUUUAGCACUGGUGUACCUCCAGAAUGUGCAGGGAUGCUUUUUGGCUAGUUUGGGGUGAUUUGGAGCAAGUUUGUGUCAGCCAUGCGGUCGACAUGUCGUGUCGUUUGUUUGCCAAACAUGUUUAUUUGCUCCUAUAUUAGCACUGGUGUACCUCCAGCAUGUGCAGGGAUGCUUUUUGUCUUGUUUUGGCUGAUUUUAGUGUGUGUCGGUAUCAAUGUGGUCGACGUGAUGUCGUUUGUUUGAUAAAACAGGUUUUUUUACCUCCUAUUUUAGCACUGGUGUACCUCCAGAGUGUGCAGGGAUGCUUUUUGGCUUGUUUGGGGUGAAUUGGAGCAAGUUUGUGUCAGUCAUGCGGUCGACAUGUCGUGUCGUUUGUUUGCCAAACAUGUUUUUUCCCUCCUAUUUUAGCACUGGUGUACCUCCAGCAUGUGCAGGGAUGCUUUUUGUCUUGUUUGGGCUGAUUUUAGUGUGUGUCGGUAUCAAUGUGGUCGACAUGUGAUGUCGUUUGUUUGAUAAAACAGGUUUUUUACCUCCUAUUUUAGCACUGGUGUACCUCCAGAGUGUGCAGGGAUGCUUUUUGGCUUGUUUGGGGUGACUUGGAGCAAGUUUGUGUCAGCCAUGCGGUCGACAUGUCGUGUCGUUUGUUUGCCAAACAUGUUUUUUCCCUCCUAUUUUAGCACUGGUGUACCUCCAGAGUGUGCAGGGAUGCUUUUUGACUUGUUUGGGGUGACUGUGUCAGCCAUUUUGUUUGUGUCAGCCAUUUUGUGUUUGCACUGGUUGACCUCCAGUAUGUGCAGGGAUGCUUGUACGGGGGUUUUGGCUUAUUUUGCAUUUUUUUUUUCUAUUCUUUUUUUAUUAUUAUUAUUUUGUGUGUGUUUGGUCCUGCUUGAGAACUGGGGUCCCAGCAGCAUGACGUGUGGUUGCAUGUAAUUUUGUAAUGUGUGUUAAAUUUGUAAACAUAUAUAUUUUUUUCUUUUUACAACAGAGAUGUCCAGGGAUAAGCGGGCCCGAUCCCCCCCUUCCCCCCACCCCUCAGAAGAUCUUUACCUGCAUAGCAACGAGGAGUGGGAGCAGACCCAGGAGGAGGAUACGACCGACCAGGCAUGCAGUGACCAGCCGCGGUAGUCAAGGGACCAAAUGGAGAAGUCAAAGAAAAAGAAAAAGCGUAGACAGGCAAGAAGCCAGCCAGAGGAGCAGUCGGAGGAGGAAGCCUCUGGUGAAGAUGCAGGACCGAAGAAGCCGCGUGGACCCAGAUACACUAAGGCGGAAAACUGUGCCCUAGUGGAUGGCGUCGACAGGUCCUACGACGUUCUGUAUGGAUCAAGGGCACAGACCACAGCAGCUAAGACCAAGCGAAACAUCUGGAAUGCCAUCGCGAGACAAGUCACUGCAGUAUCUGGAAACCGCAGGAGCACCAGAAACUGCAUGAAGCGGUACAGUGAUUGCCGCAGACAGACCAAGAAGAAGAUGGGGAUUCAGCGCUGACAUGAGACCGCUACGGGAGGUGGUCCGGCUCUCAAUCUGAAGUGGCUACCCUGGGAGAACGUUAUCAAAAGGCGCAUGAACCCUGCCAUGGUCGAAGGAGUUUGCGGAGGUGUGGACUCUAGCCGUCCUGCUGGCUUUCCCGAGGAGGAAGAACCGCCCAGAAGACGGAAGACGGCGGGAGACAAGCAGUCCAAAAGGAGGCCUGAUGACACGCCUGCCCAGAGGACAUCACCUGCGCGCAGGACAUCGCCAGCGCGCGGACCAUCACCUGCGCAGCAGGCAUCGGCAGCAGCGCGCGGACCAUCACCUGCGCAGCAAGCAUCGGGAGCGCGCAGAUCAUCACCUGCGCGCCACACAUCGUCAUCGCGCAGUAAGUCACCUGCGCGCCAGACAUCAGCGCACAGAACGCCAGACACCGUCGGCGACCACACCACCAGAUGGGCGCCAAACUACAGCUCCUGCGCGCAGGCCAUCACCAGAUCGUCAUCUCUCCAGGAGCUCUGGGACUGUGUACCUUUGUGGACCCAUCACCCGAACUGUUUGAGUCUACAGGGUUAACGGACGAGACUUUUUUUGGGUUUGAAGACAGCCGUGCAGACGUAUCCAGCCAGACCCUUGAAAAGUCUCCAGAAUUGAGGACAAGUGAAGCUCCUGGAGCAGCGGCACCACAGGAUGGAGAAGAGGUGCCACGGACCAGCAGAGGACUUGCGUCGGGGAUUGGUUCCUACUACAGGCCGGAUCUCAUACAGGAUUCGUCAGAUGAUGACGAGGUGGAAGUGCAGCAGCCUGCUGUUUCUACAUCCCUGUGUGAGUAAAUAUCGAAUUG
Molecule: long non-coding RNA, 3309 nt
Organism: Pseudophryne corroboree (corroboree frog)
Lineage: Eukaryota; Metazoa; Chordata; Amphibia; Anura; Myobatrachidae
Exons: 4
Source: RefSeq, a predicted model, not a curated record